RNAcentral lists this non-coding RNA (24 nucleotides) under Arabidopsis thaliana (thale cress). Lineage: Eukaryota; Viridiplantae; Streptophyta; Magnoliopsida; Brassicales; Brassicaceae. The record is from RNAcentral.
AGACCUAGGCCUUGAAUGGCUGCA